UACUCACUACAGGACAGGAAGUAUAGCAACACUUCUGGGUACCUACAGCAAGCUGAGUGCCCCGUGCCUCACUGCGCGCUGUGCUGUGGACUGACGUCACCCGUCCGUGUUUUCCUCCGGUCCAACUGGUUGGGACGUGGACAUCUCCAGUUCGCUGCUGCUGCUGCUGCUCACCGCAGCACAGAAGACAGAAAGGAAAAGGAGCGAGCCUCCACGAGCACGGUUAUAACUCAAAUAACAGUGCGUCACCACCGGGCACACACUGGUUGAAUCAACGUUGCUUCUACAUCAUUUUCAAUUCAAUUACUUUGAGCCAACGUGGAGCUGGCUGGGAAUAUACGUUGAAUUGACGUCUGUGCCAAGUGGGUCCAUUCGUACAGAUUUCGUGACGCGGAAUGCGUGCGUAAAAUCAGACAGAGCCGACCUACACAACAGCCAAAAUGACACUUCGCCACUGCCUGUUUUACCUCUAAACAAACAUGCAUCCCGGACGACGUGCUUUCCUCUAUUCUUACGUGCAAUAA
RNAcentral lists this long non-coding RNA (524 nucleotides) under Oncorhynchus mykiss (rainbow trout). RNAcentral's name for it is "lncRNA (ENSOMYG00000062166.1)". Lineage: Eukaryota; Metazoa; Chordata; Actinopteri; Salmoniformes; Salmonidae. The record is from RNAcentral.